UCAAAGGAAUUGACGGGGAGCACCACAACGGGUGGAGCUUGCGGUUUAAUUGGAUUCAACGCCGGAAAUCUUACCGGGACCGACAGCAAUAUGAAGGCCAGGCUGAAGACUUUGCCGGAUUAGCUGAGAGGUGGUGCAUGGCCGUCGUCAGUUCGUACUGUGAAGCAUCCUGUUAAGUCAGGCAACGAGCGAGACCCACGCCCACAGUUGCCAGCGUACUCUCUGGAGUGACGGGUACACUGUGGGACCGCCGCUGCUAAAGCGGAGGAGGGAAUGGGCAACGGUAGGUCAGUAUGCCCCGAAUAUCCCGGGCUACACGCGAGCUACAAUGGUUGGUACAAUGGGUAUCUACCCCGAAAGGGGACGGGAAUCUCCUAAAACCAAUCUUAGUUCGGAUUGAGGGCUGCAACUCGCCCUCAUGAAGCUGGAAUCCGUAGUAAUCGCGUUUCAACAGAACGCGGUGAAUACGUCCCUGCUCCUU
RNAcentral lists this ribosomal RNA (481 nucleotides) under uncultured Methanosaeta sp. RNAcentral's name for it is "bacterial SSU rRNA". It matches the Rfam family "Archaeal small subunit ribosomal RNA", at positions 856 to 1338 of the family's 1478-position model. The record is from RNAcentral. Lineage: Archaea; Methanobacteriati; Methanobacteriota; Methanomicrobia; Methanotrichales; Methanotrichaceae.